Molecule: ribosomal RNA, 527 nt
Filed under: uncultured bacterium
Lineage: Bacteria
Description: bacterial SSU rRNA
Rfam family: Bacterial small subunit ribosomal RNA
Source: RNAcentral
GCGUAAAGAGCUCGUAGGUGGUUCGUCACGUCGGAUGUGAAACCCUGGGGCUUAUUCCCAGACCUGCAUUCGAUACGGGCGAGCUUGAGUAUGGUAGGGGAGUCUGGAAUUCCUGGUGUAGCGGUGGAAUGCGCAGAUAUCAGGAGGAACACCAAUGGCGAAGGCAGGACUCUGGGCCAUUACUGACACUGAGGAGCGAAAGCGUGGGGAGCGAACAGGAUUAGAUACCCUGGUAGUCCACGCCGUAAACGGUGGGCACUAGUUGUGGGGACCUUCCACGGUCUCUGCGACGCAGCUAACGCAUUAAGUGCCCCGCCUGGGGAGUACGAUCGCAAGAUUAAAACUCAAAGGAAUUGACGGGGCCCCGCACAAGCAGCGGAGCAUGCGGCUUAAUUCGACGCAACGCGAAGAACCUUACCAAGGCUUGACAUAUACAGGAAUAUGGCAGAGAUGUCAUAGCCGCAAGGUCUGUAUACAGGUGGUGCAUGGUUGUCGUCAGCUCGUGUCGUGAGAUGUUGGGUUAAGUC